Molecule: ribosomal RNA, 2340 nt
Filed under: Acinetobacter sp. 72431
Lineage: Bacteria; Pseudomonadati; Pseudomonadota; Gammaproteobacteria; Moraxellales; Moraxellaceae
Description: bacterial LSU rRNA
Rfam family: Bacterial large subunit ribosomal RNA
Source: RNAcentral
CGUACCUUUUGUAUAAUGGGUCAGCGACUUAUAUUCAGUAGCAAGGUUAACCGUAUAGGGGAGCCGUAGGGAAACCGAGUCUUAAUAGGGCGUUUAGUUGCUGGGUAUAGACCCGAAACCAGGCGAUCUAUCCAUGAGCAGGUUGAAGGUUGGGUAACACUAACUGGAGGACCGAACCCACUGUCGUUGAAAAGCCAGGGGAUGACUUGUGGAUAGGGGUGAAAGGCUAAUCAAGCCUGGUGAUAGCUGGUUCUCCCCGAAAGCUAUUUAGGUAGCGCCUCGGACGAAUACCAUAGGGGGUAGAGCACUGUUUCGGCUAGGGGGUCAUCCCGACUUACCAAACCGAUGCAAACUCCGAAUACCUAUGAGUACUAUCCGGGAGACAGACUGCGGGUGCUAACGUCCGUAGUCAAGAGGAAAACAAUCCAGACCGCCAGCUAAGGCCCCAAAAUCAUAGUUAAGUGGGAAACGAUGUGGGAAGGCAUAGACAGCUAGGAGGUUGGCUUAGAAGCAGCCACCCUUUAAAGAAAGCGUAAUAGCUCACUAGUCGAGUCGGCCUGCGCGGAAGAUGUAACGGGGCUAAAACUAUGUGCCGAAGCUGCGGAUUUGACAUUAGUCAAGUGGUAGGGGAGCGUUCUGUAAGCCGAUGAAGGUGUAUUGAGAAGUAUGCUGGAGGUAUCAGAAGUGCGAAUGCUGACGUGAGUAACGACAAAACGGGUGAAAAACCCGUUCGCCGAAAGACCAAGGGUUCCAGUCCAACGUUAAUCGGGGCUGGGUGAGUCGACCCCUAAGGCGAGGCCGAAAGGCGUAGUCGAUGGGAAAUUGGUUAAUAUUCCAAUACUUCUGUGUAAUGCGAUGAGAGGACGGAGAAGGUUAAGUCAGCCUGGCGUUGGUUGUCCAGGUGGAAGGAUGUAGGUAUGUAUCUUAGGCAAAUCCGGGGUACUCUAUACUGAGAUCCGAUAGCAAGCUGUACUUGUACAGUGAAGUGGCUGAUACCAUGCUUCCAGGAAAAGUCUCUAAGCUUCAGUUACACAGGAAUCGUACCCGAAACCGACACAGGUGGUCAGGUCGAGUAGACCAAGGCGCUUGAGAGAACUCUGCUGAAGGAACUAGGCAAAAUGGUACCGUAACUUCGGGAGAAGGUACGCUGUUGUUGGUGAUGGAACUUGCUUCCUGAGCUGACGACAGCCGCAGAAACCAGGCCGCUGCAACUGUUUAUUAAAAACAUAGCACUCUGCAAACACGAAAGUGGACGUAUAGGGUGUGAUGCCUGCCCGGUGCUGGAAGGUUAAUUGAUGGGGUUAGCGUAAGCGAAGCUCUUGAUCGAAGCCCCAGUAAACGGCGGCCGUAACUAUAACGGUCCUAAGGUAGCGAAAUUCCUUGUCGGGUAAGUUCCGACCUGCACGAAUGGCAUAAUGAUGGCGGCGCUGUCUCCAGCAGAGGCUCAGUGAAAUCGAAAUCGCUGUGAAGAUGCAGUGUACCCGCGGCUAGACGGAAAGACCCCGUGAACCUUUACUGCAGCUUGACACUGAACUUUGACCUUACUUGUGUAGGAUAGGUGGGAGGCUUUGAAGUUGGAACGCUAGUUCCAAUGGAGCCGUCCUUGAAAUACCACCCUGGUAAUGUUGAGGUUCUAACUCUGUCCCGUUAUCCGGGACGAGGACCGUGUCUGGUGGGUAGUUUGACUGGGGCGGUCUCCUCCUAAAGAGUAACGGAGGAGUACGAAGGUGCGCUCAGCGUGGUCGGAAAUCACGCGUAGAGUAUAAAGGCAAAAGCGCGCUUAACUGCGAGACCCACAAGUCGAGCAGGUACGAAAGUAGGUCUUAGUGAUCCGGUGGUUCUGUAUGGAAGGGCCAUCGCUCAACGGAUAAAAGGUACUCUGGGGAUAACAGGCUGAUACCGCCCAAGAGUUCAUAUCGACGGCGGUGUUUGGCACCUCGAUGUCGGCUCAUCUCAUCCUGGGGCUGAAGCAGGUCCCAAGGGUAUGGCUGUUCGCCAUUUAAAGAGGUACGCGAGCUGGGUUUAGAACGUCGUGAGACAGUUCGGUCCCUAUCUACCGUGGGCGCUGGAAAUUUGAGAGGAUCUGCUCCUAGUACGAGAGGACCAGAGUGGACGAACCUCUGGUGUACCGGUUGUGACGCCAGUCGCAUCGCCGGGUAGCUAUGUUCGGAAGGGAUAACCGCUGAAAGCAUCUAAGCGGGAAGCCUACCUCAAGAUAAGAUUUCCCUAGGAAUUUAUUCCUCUAAAGAGCCGUUCGAGACUAGGACGUUGAUAGGUUGGAUGUGGAAGCAUAGUGAUAUGUGAAGCUGACCAAUACUAAUUGCUCGUGAGGCUUGACUA